This is a non-coding RNA of Anoplopoma fimbria (sablefish), 964 nucleotides long. NCBI's taxonomy places the organism in Eukaryota, Metazoa, Chordata, Actinopteri, Perciformes, Anoplopomatidae. The record is from the annotation of a RefSeq genome assembly.
GUUGGAGUCAGUCAGAGCAUUUCCAUAGAGAGACACUUUGCAUCAGCAGCACCAUCCUCCAGUGCUCUGGGAGAGUUUAUAGUCCUGAGAGUUGAACACUGGAUGACUGACAGCUGUCCUUCAUCACAACAGAAGACACAGAAAUCCUCCUCAUCAAAAACAUGACUUUGAUCUCCGUCCUCAUCUGGACUCUCCUCUGCUGCUGCUUCACAGAGUCCAGAGGACAGGUCACAGUGACUCAGCCUGGAGCAGUGAGCUCUGCUCUGGGAGGCUCCGUCUCCAUCUCCUGUAGGACCAGUCAGGAUGUUUAUGGCAAUAACUAUUUAGCCUGGUACCAACAGAGAGAUGGAGAAACUCCUAAACUGCUCAUUUAUUAUGCUAGCACUCUACAAUCAGGGAUUCCAGGUCGUUUUACAGGCAGUGGAUCAAACUCUGCCUUCACUCUGACCAUCAGUGGAGUCCAGACUGAAGAUGCAGCAGUUUACUACUGUCAGAGUGCACAUCACAUCAACAGUCUGUGGGUGUUCACACAGUGAAAAAGCGUCGUACAAAAACCUCCUCAGCUGAAGAGGAACUGAUCUGACUCAACAGCUGCAUUGAAACUAAAAGAUAUCAACAUAAUACAAAAAAAUAUAGUUACAAGUCAGUCUAACAGUUAACACUGACAGUUCAAAAAUGAUUAAAAAAUAUUUUAUUUUUACUGAUCAUUUUCUUCAACAAAGAUUCAAUUGAUGAAUGAAUGUGAUUUAAAGAAAACCACAGUCACUAUUUGAUGUAAUAUAUUUUCCAUAGGCAGGUUAUUACAGAUCUUUUAUUUUUUUAUUUUGUCAGGGUUUCUUCAGAUUAUUCUUCUAAUACAUUUAACUAACAAACAGGUUUAACCCUCCUGUUACCUUCACAUUUACUAACAUCUUUUAUCCUUGGGGUCAAUUUGACCCCAGCAAUUUAAACCUCCAGAAAAUGA